This 269-nucleotide ribosomal RNA is filed under the name uncultured prokaryote. RNAcentral's name for it is "partial 16S ribosomal RNA". It matches the Rfam family "Bacterial small subunit ribosomal RNA", at positions 524 to 792 of the family's 1533-position model. The record is from RNAcentral.
UACGUAGGUGGCAAGCGUUGUCCGGAUUUAUUGGGCGUAAAGCGAGCGCAGGCGGUUCCUUAAGUCUGAUGUGAAAGCCCACGGCUCAACCGUGGAAGGUCAUUUGAAACUGGGGAACUUGAGUGCAGAAGAGGAGAGUGGAAUUCCAUGUGUAGCGGUGAAAUGCGUAGAGAUCGGGAGGAACACCGGCGGCGAAGGCGGCUUUCUGGCAGACAACUGACGCUGAGGCGCGAAAGCGUGGGGAGCAAACAGGAUUAGAUACCCGGGUA